ACUUUCUGUUAUCUGAGAAUAAACAUGCUGGGUUUGGAGGUCUCUUGAGAUGGGAUGCAGGAUCAGGGGAAGAAUUGGCCCCGCGGGCAGCUCUGGCCAUCAGCGAGAUGUGAGGUCACAAAGCAAGUGGUUCCUUUGCUCAGGUCAGGUUUCCCUCGGUCAUUCAGGGACCCGGGGGAAUGGAGAAGGAGGACCGACUGGAGGAUGGGGUAUGGUCUGUGGGGGAGAGUUCAAAACCGAGACGAAGGCUGAGCACAUGCUCUUUCACGGACAAGCCUGGGCUUCACGGAGCCACUCGACUUGGACACAGAUCUCGGUCCCCAUCCAUCUCCCCGUGGCUCCAGCCCCCCAGCUAAGUCUGGCUUUUAGGGAAUGUUUCAUUGGGCCCUCCUUUCUGGCAGUGCCGGGGGCUCCUGCCCUGGCGUCCGACCCCUCUGACACGUCUUCAAGGGCUUAUAGGCAGACGGAUGCUGGGCACAGCGCGCGGCCCCAGGUAAGCUUCUAAUGUGAUCAUUGCCUUUUAUUAUGUGCAUGUAAAGUGAUGUAUUUUGAAUCCCCUGCUUUGUAUAAAGCCUCAAAUAGUGUGUGCCUGCCUCCAGCAUCAACCCCUGGAUGCCGGACCCUUUCCAAGAACUGUGAGUCAAGGGGACUCUGUCUCAACUCACAGCUGUGACUGAGGGUCCGGGAGGGCCAUUGGCUGAAAGCCCGUUUGGUUCAUGGAAGGGGCUGAUGUUCCGGUCCAGUUCUGGCUCAGCCCAGUUACAGCAUGACAAGCGUUCGGCUCAGCGUGGUCCUCCUCGAGCCAAGAGCAAAUAUUACGAAAUGUUUUUAAAAAUCCAUUUUUCUCUUUGCCCAACAGUUCCUCUGUGCCUCCUGUGCUGUCUUCACACCUUGCACAGAGUCAGCAUCUGGUACCAUUUGUGGAACGGAUUGCGAUAAGAAUAAAGAGUGGGUUUGCGAGCUCACUCGUGUUUUGGGUUCCUAACCGGGCCCGGUGUGGGCGGUGAAGUGGGAGGCGGAGAAGGAAGUGGCUGGGAUCAGGCCUGAGGACACCUGGUGCCUGUCUGAGCCUUGGUCUCUGCCUCGCAGGGCGAGCAUGGCUGGUUCCUUCCCCUUGUGUGGGGGUGUGUCCUGACCUGCCAACAGACACAGGGACAGAGCAGCGAUUUCCUACCUUUUCUGGGACCCUCACUAACCAAAGACCCUUAGAGAACGGCUCUGUACGGAAGACCAGGUCACGGGGGCAGGGCAGGCAAGGCAGAGCCCUCUUGGCUGGCCUCCGACAGACACCUGGGGCUCUUCUGGGGCCCUCGGAUCCCUUUGCCAGCUUUGCGCACGCACCCCUGGCUUCUGUGUGCUUUGCUGCUGCUGCUGCUUCUUCUUCUUCUUCUUCUUCUUCUUUUUUUUUUUUUAAGAUUUUAUUUAUUUAUUUGACAGACAGAGAUCAAAGGUAGGCAGAGUCAGGCAGGAAGCGGUGGUGGGGGGGAGCAGGC
RNAcentral lists this long non-coding RNA (1493 nucleotides) under Mustela putorius furo (domestic ferret). Its description in RNAcentral is "lncRNA (ENSMPUG00000024357.1)". Lineage: Eukaryota; Metazoa; Chordata; Mammalia; Carnivora; Mustelidae. The record is from RNAcentral.